AAAAAAGAAAAAUCAAAAUUAGAUAGAGGGAGGACUUGAGAGUUUAACUUAUGUACAUUACCCCAUCUUUUGUCUCUCUUAGUCUGGAGAACAGAGACCCUCGAUUAAGAAUCCACGGCUUGAAUGCCCCAAUCAAGGAUUUUAAACGUUGUGAUUUUAACCCUCCAUAUUUAAUUAUGCAAAUCGAACGGCGGUUUAAAAAUCUGCGAGUUUACCUUUUUGUGCA
RNAcentral lists this unclassified non-coding RNA (226 nucleotides) under Hevea brasiliensis (rubber tree). The record is from RNAcentral. Lineage: Eukaryota; Viridiplantae; Streptophyta; Magnoliopsida; Malpighiales; Euphorbiaceae.